This 484-nucleotide ribosomal RNA is filed under the name uncultured bacterium. RNAcentral's name for it is "partial 16S ribosomal RNA". It matches the Rfam family "Bacterial small subunit ribosomal RNA", at positions 30 to 507 of the family's 1533-position model. The record is from RNAcentral.
AUUGAACGCUGGCGGCAGGCCUAACACAUGCAAGUCGAGCGGAUGAAGGGAGCUUGCUCCUGGAUUCAGCGGCGGACGGGUGAGUAAUGCCUAGGAAUCUGCCUGGUAGUGGGGGAUAACGUCCGGAAACGGGCGCUAGUACCGCAUACGUCCUGAGGGAGAAAGUGGGGGAUCUUCGGACCUCACGCUAUCAGAUGAGCCUAGGUCGGAUUAGCUAGUUGGUGGGGUAAAGGCCUACCAAGGCGACGAUCCGUAACUGGUCUGAGAGGAUGAUCAGUCACACUGGAACUGAGACACGGUCCAGACUCCUACGGGAGGCAGCAGUGGGGAGUAUUGGACAAAGGGCGAAAGCCUGAUCCAGCCAUGCCGCGUGUGUGAAGAAGGUCUUCGGAUUGUAAAGCACUUUAAGUUGGGAGGAAGGGCAGUAAGUUAAUACCUUGCUGUUUUGACGUUACCAACAGAAUAAGCACCGGCUAACUUCGUG